AUCCGCCUCCAUGUUCUUCUACCUCUCUUGCACACUAAAGCUCCGGGUCGCCCAUCUCUUCACUUCACCUCCGCCUCACCGGAUGCUACUGCGGGAAGACAUCAGCCGUGAUCUCUCCAGCGCCAACUCAUGCUACUGUUCAGAUGGACAGAAACAUGGGCAUAGUUAACCACUUCGAUGUACUAAAACAACCUGCGAAGAGGAGUUUAUUUGCUGCUGAUUAUAGUCUUCGAGGCAAGUAAUUCUUUUGUUGUGAAGUGGAGCGUGCCUUCAGUCUGAUGUGUUUGUCAGAUUUGAAGCAACAACAAAGAAAGCAGAGGAAUGAGGCUUUAGAAUAUCUUUUUUCUUUUGCUACAGUGGUCAGUUGUAGGCAUGGUUUUUGUAACCGAAAUUAACAGAGUUGACCUGAUAUUGUUAAUCUUGUAAGUAACCAUGAUUAACCUGAUAAAUACACAUAGUUGAACUGAUAAA
Molecule: long non-coding RNA, 471 nt
Organism: Brachypodium distachyon (stiff brome)
Lineage: Eukaryota; Viridiplantae; Streptophyta; Magnoliopsida; Poales; Poaceae
Exons: 2
Source: RefSeq, a predicted model, not a curated record